UCUUGAGCGGCGUAUAACAUCAUGGAAGAGCCCAGACGACCCGUCUCCUGGAAACUUUAUUUGGGCAGUUGAACGACAAGAUAAUCCUGAGUUAAUCAUGUGGAAGGGAUCAAGAAAGUUUCAUAGGAGUGGCCCAUGGAAUGGCCUUCAAUUCAGUGCUUCACCAUUGAGGCCAAACCCCAUUUUUAACUUCAGCAUAGUCUCUAAUGAGGAUGAGCUCUGCUAUACCUUCGAUAUGAGAGAUAAAGCUGCUUUCUCAAGGAUUGUUGUGAACCAAACACUCUAUUUACUUCAACGAUUCAUAUGGAAUAAAGCAACUCAAAGUUGGGAAUUGUAUUUGUUGAUGCGAGAUUCUGGUUACGCCUUCCAACGAUCAGGAUGUCUGCUCGAUCAACCUCACCUCGAUCAGGAUCUCUCCUCGUACGCUUUUUUCCCUAAGUAUCCCUGCGUCCACAGAAACAAGUCAGAGCACGCCGGUUGUUUUCCCGGCGUAAACCCUCCGACGCUCAAGUCAGAUAUGAAGGCUCUGGGAACGCUUGCCACAAAUCUUAUGGCUUUUAGGUCGUUUUUUUCUCUUUUAGAAUUUCCUUUCUCUCUGUUAUAAUCUCCAAAUUGCUAACCCUUUUACCUUCGUUGGCUACCUUUUUAUAGGCCACUUCUGAACUCAGGCCUUUCCUCCCUUUGCGCUCGCCAUCCUCCCACUUCUCGAAAGUGGAUGCUCCAUUGCCGUAGUCAUGGGUGGUUGCGUGGCCCUCGCGCCUUGAUUCUCGGACUAGAGAGCAUGUCUCGCCAACUGUCGUUUACCGGGUCUCCUCGACCCAACCGUUAGUAGGAAUAUAGCAGGAACGGCUUUAUGCUCCCAACAGGAGACUGACCUCGUGGAUGCCGUACUCAUGGACGAGCAGGAUACUCCUGCUCCUGCUCCCCCGGCUACCAGACUCUUGCAAGAUAUACCUAUUCGAGGAACCCUGCUACCAGGCGCCUGCUCAUCACUGCUGGUCAUCGUUGAAACAUAUCCCCCAAACACCAGUCCCCCAGUUUCUUGUGUUGGGUAGCGUAGUGAGCCAACAGUAGAAACUCGACAGUUCUUGCUCGCGCAGGAUAGGAAAAGGCUACCAAGAGUCGUGUCGCAUUUAAUUGCGGAUGAGGUGAUGUGGCGGAGAUCCACCCCUCCAUUUGAAUUUCAAACCGACGGUUACGAGACCCUCGGGAUUCGGUGCUGUUAAAUGCUGGCUAUCCAAGAGUUUUUCUUCCAAUAAGAUAACCCAAAACCUCUUGAAGGGAAAUUAGCCAUUUCCACCGUCUCUGUCCUUGUCUCUCCGGCGAAGAAGUUUCGGCAUAAAAGCCCCCAUCCUUGCCUUUCUCCGACUGAAACAGUACUUCAGGUAUUACUUCUUUCUCCUCGGUCUCGGAUAGUUUGUAGAUAACUUCUUUUGGUCUAGUGUUGGUACUAGCGCUAGGAGGAUGUCUCCCCAAACAACCUCCUCGAGCGACAGUAGCGAUGAAGAAGGAUCUUCUGGAUCGGAGAACACCUUGAGUGAGGGUCAAGGGGAUGAUUCUGGUGAGGCGUCCCCAUCAGGAGCAUCACGACCAGAAGAACGGGGUACAGUAGGAGGUAGAGCCUUGUCGCGUGAUUAUGCCAUUGAUUACAUGUCGUGUACGACCACGUUUGACGAGCUCAAUGACCUCCGACUUAGGUAUAGUAUUCCUGGUGAGAUACCUCUUAAGAUCCCAGGAAAGAAGGAUACACCUAGCCGGCCUCCUAGGGGAUACGUUACCCUGUUUCUGGAAAGCUUUAAGUUUGGGCUAAGGUGUCCCUUACAACCCUACUUUGCCCGUAUACUUAACGGGCUGAAUCUGGCUCCUGGUCAGCUGAACCCCAAUGGGUGGAGAGUGCUCUCUGGUCUGUUCAUAUUGUGGGACAGAUGUUGCCAAAGCGAGCCCAUGGUUAAUGAGGUGAAGCACCUAUACCAGCUAAAGAGCAGCCCUAAAGAUGCCGGCUGGUACUACUUCCAAUCUAGUACCAAGAGCAGGAAACCCAUAACUGAUCUUCCAACUGGUGGUGGUGGGACUUGGAAGAGGAAAUUCUUUUUUGCUGGGGGUCCUUGGGGUCAAGUUGCACAAAUUGACGGGAACGAUUAUCGCGUCCCACCCCGUUUCGUGGUCCCAAGUUGCCUGCUCGCUUUAGAUGCCUCGUAUCCAUAAUUGUUCUCGCUUUAUUGGUUUGUUCUUAACCAAGUGUCUGUUUGCGUUGCAGGUUCUUGGGGUGUUCACUUCCCGCUUAAACCUGACCAGCUCAAACGGGUCGAGGCCGUAUUGGUUAAUUCCUGCCCGAGUCGAGAGCUGAUAACCACCUACAACCUGCUCGAGUCUCGUUUGGUGCCCCCCGGCCAUAAGAUGGAGGACGCAGUGAUUGGAGCUCUGACCGGGAAACGUUCUCGGCCUCCAACAACCAAACGGGACCAGAACAAAGAUGCUCCUGCUACGAAGCGAAAGAACAUCGUGCAGCAGGUUCCUCCCUUGCAGACUCUUCCUCCUGCUCCUGCCAAGGUCGAGGAAACUAGUGGAGCAGCCACAGAUCCUGCUUCUUCUUCUCCUCCUGUCGGGCCUCGGUCUCGCUUACCUGACAGCCGAGCAGAACACUUGGUCCCCUAUCUCAAUGAGUUAUCUAAACUCGUGAGCAAGAAGGACUUGGAGGACUUUGACGGCUGCACCUUGGGUGAACUGGUGGGAGCCAUGCAGUAUAGCGCUUUCCACCUCAGCUGCAUGAUCACCUAUUACAAGGCUAAGGUUGGCCGCUACAAUCGGCAGAUGAAGGAGGACAUUCAGUCAGCGACUACCAGAGCUGACGUUGCCGAGAAGAGAGCAGGGGAGCUGAAUGUUGAGAACCUUAAGCUGAUGGAGCAAGAAUCUCUUGCUCAAGCAAAAGCCAUUACCCUGGAGGAGGAGCUGACCAAGGUCAAGGAGGAUCUGCUAAGGCAGAAGGCUAUGUAUGAGGCUCAGCUCGAAUCUCUACGUGAUUCCCACCGGGCUCAGGUUGAGAACUUGGAGAGGGAGGCCGACAACCAGUACGACUAGGGACUUCGGCAUUCCUAUUGUUGCAUCAUGGCCGUCCUCGGGAAGCAGCAUCCUGAUCUGAAGAUGGAUGACCUUGUAGCUGGUGUUGCUCAACAUAUGGACGAGGAGGCGGCCAAGAAAGAUGCCGAAGGGAUAGAGCCGAUCGUGAUUAAGGAGGAAAAUUCUCCUCCUCGUGCGGUCCCUGCUGACGUUGGCGAGGCGAGCACCCGUGCUGCCGUUGCCGAGGCGAGCACCCCCCCGGACGCAACUGGUGAUACUCCCCCUGCACCUGAGGAGGUCCAGCCAACCGAUGCUGCUCGGCUUACUGAUCCGCCAUCUUCUUGAUAUAUUUCUUGUAUUGUAAUGAACAACGUUUAUGAAAUUUAUCUCCUCUGUUAAUUAUUAACACAUUAAUAAAAAUGUUUUUGAUUACUUUCUUGUGUUGUAAUCAUGAGUUAUUUUUCGUUUAAGAAUCUGCUCACCUUCGUCUGGUUGAGCAGGUUCUGGCUUGGCAUAUGGUUUUGCCACAUGCCUUAGAAAAUUUUUCAAUGCUUGGGCUUCUGCUCGCCUUCACGCGGUCGAGCAGAUCCUGACAUACUUGGCUUCUGUCUCGCCAUAAACAGGCUUUGAGACUUGGUGAGCCUUUGCAUGCCUUAGAGAUUUUUUCGAUGCUUGGGGAUUCUGCUCGCCUUCGCGUGGUCGAGCGGAUCCUGGCACACUUGGCUUCUGUCUCGCCAUAAACAGGCUUUGAGACUUGGUGAGCCUUUGCAUGCCUUAGAGAUUUUUUCGAUGCUUGGGGAUUCUGCUCGCCUUCGCGUGGUCGAGCGGAUCCUGGCACACUUGGCUUCUGUCUCGCCAUAAACAGGCUUUGAGACUUGGUGAGCCUUUGCAUGCCUUAGAGAUUUUUUCGAUGCUUGGGGAUUCUGCUCGCCUUCGCGUGGUCGAGCGGAUCCUGGCACACUUGGCUUCUGUCUCGCCAUAAACAGGCUUUGAGACUUGGUGAGCCUUUGUAUGCCUCAGAAAUUUUUUCGAUGCUUGGGGAUUCUUCUCGCCUUCGUGUGGUCGAGUAGAUCCUGGCACGCUUGGCUUCUGUCUCGCCAUAAACAGGCUUUGAGACUUGGUGAGCCUUUGCAUGCCUUAGAGAUUUUUUCGAUGCUUGGGGAUUCUGCUCGCCUUCGCGUGGUCGAGCGGAUCCUGGCACACUUGGCUUCUGUCUCGCCAUAAACAGGCUUUGAGACUUGGUGAGCCUUUGCAUGCCUUAGAGAUUUUUUCGAUGCUUGGGGAUUCUGCUCGCCUUCGCGUGGUCGAGCGGAUCCUGGCACACUUGGCUUCUGUCUCGCCAUAAACAGGCUUUGAGACUUGGUGAGCCUUUGCAUGCCUUAGAGAUUUUUUCGAUGCUUGGGGAUUCUGCUCGCCUUCGCGUGGUCGAGCGGAUCCUGGCACACUUGGCUUCUGUCUCGCCAUAAACAGGCUUUGAGACUUGGUGAGCCUUUGCAUGCCUUAGAGAUUUUUUCGAUGCUUGGGGAUUCUGCUCGCCUUCGCGUGGUCGAGCGGAUCCUGGCACACUUGGCUUCUGUCUCGCCAUAAACAGGCUUUGAGACUUGGUGAGCCUUUGUAUGCCUCAGAAAUUUUUUCGAUGCUUGGGGAUUCUUCUCGCCUUCGUGUGGUCGAGUAGAUCCUGGCACGCUUGGCUUCUGUCUCGCCAUAAACAGGCUUUGAGACUUGGUGAGCCUUUGCAUGCCUUAGAGAUUUUUUCGAUGCUUGGGGAUUCUGCUCGCCUUCGCGUGGUCGAGCGGAUCCUGGCACACUUGGCUUCUGUCUCGCCAUAAACAGGCUUUGAGACUUGGUGAGCCUUUGCAUGCCUUAGAGAUUUUUUCGAUGCUUGGGGAUUCUGCUCGCCUUCGCGUGGUCGAGCGGAUCCUGGCACACUUGGCUUCUGUCUCGCCAUAAACAGGCUUUGAGACUUGGUGAGCCUUUGCAUGCCUUAGAGAUUUUUUCGAUGCUUGGGGAUUCUGCUCGCCUUCGCGUGGUCGAGCGGAUCCUGGCACACUUGGCUUCUGUCUCGCCAUAAACAGGCUUUGAGACUUGGUGAGCCUUUGCAUGCCUUAGAGAUUUUUUCGAUGCUUGGGGAUUCUGCUCGCCUUCGCGUGGUCGAGCGGAUCCUGGCACACUUGGCUUCUGUCUCGCCAUAAACAGGCUUUGAGACUUGGUGAGCCUUUGUAUGCCUCAGAAAUUUUUUCGAUGCUUGGGGAUUCUUCUCGCCUUCGUGUGGUCGAGUAGAUCCUGGCACGCUUGGCUUCUGUCUCGCCAUAAACAGGCUUUGAGACUUGGUGAGCCUUUGCAUGCCUUAGAGAUUUUUUCGAUGCUUGGGGAUUCUGCUCGCCUUCGCGUGGUCGAGCGGAUCCUGGCACACUUGGCUUCUGUCUCGCCAUAAACAGGCUUUGAGACUUGGUGAGCCUUUGCAUGCCUUAGAGAUUUUUUCGAUGCUUGGGGAUUCUGCUCGCCUUCGCGUGGUCGAGCGGAUCCUGGCACACUUGGCUUCUGUCUCGCCAUAAACAGGCUUUGAGACUUGGUGAGCCUUUGCAUGCCUUAGAGAUUUUUUCGAUGCUUGGGGAUUCUGCUCGCCUUCGCGUGGUCGAGCGGAUCCUGGCACACUUGGCUUCUGUCUCGCCAUAAACAGGCUUUGAGACUUGGUGAGCCUUUGCAUGCCUUAGAGAUUUUUUCGAUGCUUGGGGAUUCUGCUCGCCUUCGCGUGGUCGAGCGGAUCCUGGCACACUUGGCUUCUGUCUCGCCAUAAACAGGCUUUGAGACUUGGUGAGCCUUUGUAUGCCUCAGAAAUUUUUUCGAUGCUUGGGGAUUCUUCUCGCCUUCGUGUGGUCGAGUAGAUAGUCGGGUCUUUGGUGUUCUGGUUCACUCUCCUUAACACCCAAUCUCCGACCUUGAACUGCCGUAUGUUCACCUUCUGGUUAUAAUACCGGGCAACCCUCUGCUGGUAAAUGACUGAUCGCUCGGCUGCUUGCUCCCUCUUUUCGGUUAGCAGAUCAAGUUUCAAACAUAUCUGCUCGUCGUUCUCCUGCUCAUUGAAAUGAUCUGUCCGGUGCGUGGUCGUUCCUAUCUCAGCUGGCACGACCGCUUCGUGUCCAAAAGCCAAGGCGAAUGGUGUCUCCCCAGUUGCUGUUUUGUGGAGAAAUUUUUUCGAUGCUUGGGGAUUCUUCUCGCCUUCGUGUGGUCGAGUAGAUCCUGGCACGCUUGGCUUCUGUCUCGCCAUAAACAGGCUUUGAGACUUGGUGAGCCUUUGCAUGCCUUAGAGAUUUUUUCGAUGCUUGGGGAUUCUGCUCGCCUUCGCGUGGUCGAGCGGAUCCUGGCACGUUUGGCUUCUGUCUCGUCAUAAACAGGCUUUGAGACUUGGUGAGCCUUUGCAUGCCUUAGAGAUUUUUUCGAUGCUUGGGGAUUCUGCUCGCCUUCGCGUGGUCGAGCGGAUCCUGGCACGUUUGGCUUCUGUCUCGUCAUAAACAGGCUUUGAGACUUGGUGAGCCUUUGCAUGCCUUAGAGAUUUUUUCGAUGCUUGGGGAUUCUGCUCGCCUUCGCGUGGUCGAGCGGAUCCUGGCACGUUUGGCUUCUGUCUCGUCAUAAACAGGCUUUGAGACUUGGUGAGCCUUUGCAUGCCUUAGAGAUUUUUUCGAUGCUUGGGGAUUCUGCUCGCCUUCGCGUGGUCGAGCGGAUCCUGGCACGUUUGGCUUCUGUCUCGUCAUAAACAGGCUUUGAGACUUGGUGAGCCUUUGCAUGCCUUAGAGAUUUUUUCGAUGCUUGACUCUAUAUGGCCCCUCCCAAUUCGGACCGAGCACUCCUUGAGUCGGGUCUUUGGUGUUCUGGUUCACUCUCCUUAACACCCAAUCUCCGACCUUGAACUGCCGUAUGUUCACCUUCUGGUUAUAAUACCGGGCAACCCUCUGCUGGUAAAUGACUGAUCGCUCGGCUGCUUGCUCCCUCUUUUCGGUUAGCAGAUCAAGUUUCAAACAUAUCUGCUCGUCGUUCUCCUGCUCAUUGAAAUGAUCUGUCCGGUGCGUGGUCGUUCCUAUCUCAGCUGGCACGACCGCUUCGUGUCCAAAAGCCAAGGCGAAUGGUGUCUCCCCAGUUGCUGUUUUGUGGGUUGUUCUGUAUGCCCAUAGCACACCUGACAGCUCAUCAACCCAUGCACCUUUUUUUUGCUCCAAGCCUGGUUUUCAAAAGCCUCUUGAUUGUCUUGUUGGCUGCUUCUACUUGUCCAUUCGAUUGGGGGUGAGCAGGCGAGCAAUACUUCAGCUCUAUCCCGAGGUUCUGGCAGAAAUCCCUGAAGUUGUGAUUAUCGAACUGCCUGUCAUUAUCCGUUACCAGGGCAUAAGGGAUCCCGUAUCGACAGACCAGGUUUCUCCAUACAAAGUCUGUUGUUUUCUUCUCUGUGAUCCUGCUAAGGGCUUCUACUUCUAUCCAUUUCGUGAAGUAGUCUAUAGCAACUAUUGCAUGUGUUGCUGCUCCUCGUCCCUUUGGUAGCGGGCCGAUCAGAUCAAUUCCCCAUUGAGCAAAUGGCCAAUGGGAGGCCAUAGAGGUGAGCUUCUCUGGUGGUUGGUUGGAGAAACUUGCAAAACUCUGGCAGUUUAUACAACUCCUGGUCUUCUCCUGUGCAUCCUGGUGCAUUGUCGGCUAGAAAUAUCCCUGCCUUAGAACCUUGUGGGUCAGGGACCUCCCACCAGAAUGGUUCCCGCAAAUUCCUUCAUGUACUUCUCUCAGUACGUAAUCUGCGUUGUCCUCAUCCAAACAUCGAAGGAAAUGUAGUGUAUAUCCUCGUCGAUACAGUACCCCAUCAAUCAUCGUGUAUCUCGAGGCAUGGGCUCUAAUCUUCCGAGCUCGCAGCUUAUCUGGUGGUAAUACCCCGUCUCUAAGGUAUGAAACUAUCGGGUCCAUCCACGAGCAUUUUUGUUCUAUCCGCAGCACCCCCGAAUUCGGCUCGAUGCUCCGCUCGAUACUUGGGCUGGACUUCACCUCCGGAGGGACCGACUUUGGCAUUUUUGGGUCGGCUACUGCUGCCAUCCUGGCCAAAAUGUCUGCUCGACUAUUCUGCUCCCUAGGGAUUUGUAUCACCUCAACUGCUUCAAAUUUCCCCAUUAUCUGCCUGACUAUCUUCAGGUACUGCUCCAUCUUCUCCUCUCUUGGUUGAAAUAUUUCACUGACAUGAUUCGCAACCAGCUGGGAAUCAGUUCGGAUCUUCACUCUGACUGCUUUCACGGCCUUAGCCAAUUCCAAACCUGCUAUCAAGGCUUCAUACUCUGCCUGGUUAUUUGUGGCUGCAAAUUCUAACUUUACAGCAUAAGAGAUCUCCUCCCCCUCCGGGCCUUCCAAGACAAUCUCUGCUCCUGAACCCUGCUCCCCUGAUGACCCAUCCACAGACAUAUGCCAUACUUGAGCUUCGUCACUGUCUGUAACUACAUCUCAUCGAUCUAAACAUACUUCGGGCUCUGUGAAAUCAGCUACGAAAUCGGCCAUUGCCUGAGCCUUUAUCGCUGCUCGGGGUUUGUAGUCUAUGUCGAACUCGCUCAGCUCUAUAGCCCACUUGACUAGCUGACCAGAAGUAUCUGGCUUGUGCAGAGUGUGACGUAAUGGCUAGUUUGUUAUUACCGAGAUUGGGAAUGCUUGAAAAUAUGGCCUCAACUUCUCAGCCGCAACCACAAGAGCAAGUGUUCAUUUCUCCAACGGUGGGUAUCUGGUCUCAGCAUCGAGCAGGGCCUUGCUGGUGUAGUAUAUCGGAUACUGAACUCCUUCUUCCUCUCUCACCAGAACAGAACUGGCGGCCCGAUCCGAUACCGCCAAAUACAGAUACAACUUGUCCCCAUCCCUCGGUGUGGACAACAGUGGAGCUUGCUGCAAGUAUUGUUUCAAGUUCUGGAAGGCUUCCUCGCAUUCUUGUGCACAAGAGCAAGUGCCCAUUUCUCCAACGUUGGGUAUUUGGUCUCAGCGUCGAGCAGGGCCUUGCUGGUGUAGUAUAUCGAAUACUGAACUCCUCCUUCCUCUCUCACCAGAACAGAACUGGUGGCCCGAUCCGAUACCGCCAAAUACAUAUACAACUUAUCCCCAUCCCUCGGUGUGGACAACAGUGGAGCUUGCUGCAAGUAUUGUUUCAAGUUCUGGAAGGCUUCCUCGCAUUCUUGUGUCCAUUCUGUUUUCUUUCCCCUCCUUAUCACUUGAAAGAAUGGCUGACACUUAUCUGUAGCCUUGGAUAUGAAUCUGCUCAAAAAGCACACUUCUCCGGGUUGAGCUUCAUCUUAUACUUCCUCAAAAGCCCGAAUGUCUCCUCGAGGUGCCUGACAUGUUCCUUCGAGAUUUUGGAUUUGGUGAUCAUGUCGUCCACGUACACCUCCAUGGUUUUCCCAAUCAACGGCUUAAAGACUUUGUUCACCAGCCUCUGAUAGGUGGCCCCAGCAUUUUUGAGACCAAAUGGCAUUACCCUGUAACAGAACAAACCCUGGUUAGUGAUGAAAGUCGUGCUCUCCUCAUCCUGCUCGUACAUGGGGAUCUGGUUGUAUCCCGAGAACGCGUCCAUGAAACUAAGCAGACCGUGUCCAGCCGUUGAAUCUACCAGCUGAUCGAUCUUUGGUAAAAGGAAGCUGUCUUUUGGGCACGCCUUAUUAAGGUCUGUGAAAUCCACACACAUCAUCCACUUGUCAUUUGCCUUCUUUACUAACACCACAUUCGAUAUCCAUUCAGGGUAAUUGACUUCCCGAAUGAACCCUGCUCUCAAGAGCUUCUCCACCUCGCCAUUUAUAGCAUCAUACCUCUCAUGGUUAAAGCACCUCCUCUUCUGCCUUACUGCCCGAGCACCUUUCUUUAUUGCCAGCUUAUGACAUGCUACCUCAGGGUCAAUCCCUGGCAUGUCUUCAUGUGUCCAAGCAAACACAUCUGCAUGAGCCUGUAAGCAUUUCAUCAACUCAUGCUUUUGCUCUCCCUUAAGUCUCGACCCGAUCCUGAUCGUCUUUCCCGGAUUCUCUGGUUCCAGGCUUACUGUUUCCAGAUCCUCUACAGGUUCUUACCUGCCAUUCUUGUUUUCUACUCGGGUAUUGAGGGAUGUUAUCUGCAUUGCUUCCCUUGCUGCCGAGGAGUAGCAGCUUCUUGCGAUCCUAUGGUCUCCUCGUACCACUCCAACUACCCCAUUCACCCGGUACUUCAAAGCCAGAUAAUGGUUGGACAGCACCGCUUUGCUCAUCCUCAGAAAUGGCCGGCCUAGGAUCAUCUGGUAAGGUCCUUCCUCAUCCACUACCACAAAGUCCAGUAUCAUUGUCCUUUCUGUCGGGGAGCUCCCAAUCGUGAUAGGCAGCUCGACCACGCCCAGAGGGACCAGCUUUCCUCCUCCAAACCCCUUCAAGGAGGUAUUGGUGUAAUCCAACUUCAGGUCUGCUAUUCCCAUCUCCUCCAGGGUUGACUUAAACAACACAUCAACUGAACUCCCUGUGUCAACCAGUAUCCUGUCAAACUUCUUGCUAGCAACAGUGGCCUUGAUGACCAGAGCGUCCUCGUGGGGGUAUAAGAUCCCUUCUUCAUCCUCAUCUGUCCACAUGAUUGGCACUUGCCUGACUCUUGCACGUUUGGCCGCUGGGGUGUUGAAGAAUACCUCCUUGCUGGUCAUGGCGUAUCUAGCAUAAUUCUUCCUCGACCUGUUGGAAUCUCCGGCCAAUGUUGGGCCCCCAGCUAUAACCCUUACUGCAGGUUGCUCUCGCCUCAAGUUCCUGUCACUCUGCUCCCCUUCACUUGUUGAGGCUACCGUUGGGAAGGUCCCAUCUACAAACUUGUCCAGAUACCGAUUUCUCACCAAAUCUUCAACCUAGGUCUUAAGAUCUCUGCAAUCUGUUGUAGUGUGGCCAUGAGUGCCAUGGAACUUACAAUAGCGUCCCCUAUCUCUCCUGCUGGGUAGCUUUGUUAUUGGAGCAGGGAGGUAUAGCAACCCCCGAUCCUUUAUGGCCUCGUACACCUCGUCCAGGGACAUCUUCAAGGAAGUGUACCGUCCAUAGUCCUAGUUCUGGUCGAUCAGGUGCACUGCUCUUUCUCUGUUUGCUCCGUUCUGAGUUGGGGGUAUUGGCAGUACUUCUGGUCUGCUCCCUCUGCUACUGUGGGAAUAUUGAUGAAGACCCCCAUAUGCCGAAUCAUGCCUUCUCCAAGGCUCCCUAGUUGAGGAACGAGGAGGUUGCGCCCUGCUGCGCUGAUACUGUGGUGGCCUCUGAUGAGGCUGGUAAGCAGUUACCCGACCUCCUGCUCCACUACCCGAGGUCUGGUGGUCCCUCCUCCUGAUCGGCCCAUUCCCUGGUAAUGCUUUCUUCUCUUUCCUCCCCAACCCUUCUAACUAGUCUGUCUUAAUCCGUGCUGCCUUCUCCUCUUCAAUCUCAAUGUCUCUCUUAGCCUGCUCGUAUGCGGCCGCAUACGUCUGGAUAACUGGGCUUCUCAAGUUGUACCACAACCUUCCUAUCUUCACCCCUUCUUUCAAUCCCCUUAACGCCUGAGGGUGGUUGAAGGCUCCCAAGUCGAGGACAACACGAUGAAACCUCUUGAUGAAUUCCCGAAGGGUUUCUUGCUCCCCCUGUUUCAUGCUUUUCAGCUCCAUCAUGUCAUCUUCUAGUGCCAUUGCCCCACUAAACUGCUCUGCAAAUUCCUGGCACAUCUGCUCGAAGGUUUUAAUGCUGCCCUGAGGAUGUUUCCUGUACCACUCUCAUGCACGUCCCUCAAGGGAUAGUGGGAACACCCUGCACCUUUGGGAUUGAGAUAAUUCUUGUACCCUAGUUAUGUCGUUGAAGCGCUCUAUGUGUACCAGCGGAUCAGUUCUUCCCGAAUAUCUAAGGUCUGGGAGGCAGAAAUCUCUCGGAAUAACUGCCCUCAUGAUCUCUGCUGCGAGCGGUGAUUCUCCGUCCAGCAUUAUCCUCCAACCAGGAGCUCUGCUCCUUCCUUGCAUGUCGUCAAUUAUCUGGGCUAGUCUGCGCACUUCCUCCUCCAGCUGCACUGCACGACCAGGGUCACGUGCUGCAACUUAAUCCCGCUCUUGCUCUACAUCAUGCAAAUGUUGCCUCAGCAUUGUUUCCUCUGCAUUCGCCACCCUAUCGUCCUCGUCAAAAAUCUGUCUUACCGGGGACUGCUCUUCCUCUCUAUGGAAUUCUCCCCGCAGGGGUAUGUUACCUCUUUCACCACAAAAUCUCCCGGUGGUUUGACUUCUCCUCGUACUAUCGGGACCUGGUGCCAUUCCACCACCUCUCACCCUUUCUUCCUGGGUUACCCUUCGUUCGCUCCGCAGCUCAUGCAGGAUGGUUGUCAAGGUCUCCAUCUGCUUUUCCAUCCGUUCCAUCCGGUCGAACAUGGCUUUUUCCCGUGCUUCACUGGUUAUCUCCCUCAGCGUCACGGAAUCGUUAAGCCUCAUAUCACCCCCUUAUGCACUACUUCCUCCUGUCUCCAUUGCUUUUCAGUUGCUUCCCUUCUCUUCUUGUUAUCAACAGAAGCUUUUUGCUCAGCUCCCCACAGACGGCGCCAAAAUGUUGAUGCGAGAUUCUGGUUACGCCUUCCAACGACCAAGAUGUCUGCUCGAUCAACCUCACCUCGAUCAGGAUCUCUCCUCGUACGCUUUCUUCCCUAAGUAUCCCUGCGUCCACAGAAACAAGUCAGAGCACGCCGGUUGUUUUUUCGGCGUAAACCCUCCGAUGCUCAAGUCAGAUAUAAAGGCUCUGGGAACGCUUGCCACAAAUCUUAUGGCUUUUAGGUCGUUUUUUUCUCUUUUAGAAUUUCCUUUCUCUCUGUUAUAAUCUCAAAAUUGCUAACCCUUUUACCUUCGUUGGCUACCUUUUUAUAGGCCACUUUUGAGCUCAGGCCUUUCCUCCCUUUGCGCUCGCCAUCCUCCCACUUCUCGAAAGUGGAUGCUCCAUUGCCGUAGUCGUGGGUGGUUGCGUGGCCCUCGCGCCUUGAUUCUCGGACUAGAGAGCAUGUCUCGCCAACUGUCGUUGACUGGGUCUCCUCGACCCAACCGUUAGUAGUAAUAUAGCAGGAACGGCUUUAUGCUCCCAACAGGAGACUGACCUCGUGGAUGCCGUACUCAUGGAUGAGCAGGAUACUCCUGCUCCUGCUCCCCCGGCUACCAGACUCUUGCAAGAUAUACCUAUUCGAGGAACCCUGCUACCAGGCGCCUGCUCAUCACUGCUGGUCGUCGUCGAAACAUAUCCCCCAAACAGUAUUCAAAUUUGCCAAGAGAUCUAUGUGACACUUAUGCCCUUUGUGGAGCCUGUGGCGUUUGCAUCAUUAACGAUUUGCCUGUUUGCCACUGUUUAAAAGGUUUUAAACCAAAGUCAAGGGGAUAUGUGGACUGGUCUCUAGGGUGUGUGUGUGAUAAGUCGUUAAACUACUCUAGACAAGAUGGCUCCAUCAAAUUCACUUCGAUGAAAUUGCCAGAUGCUACUCCUUCUCGGGUGAGCAAAAGUAUAAAUCUCAACGAAUGCAGGGAGAAGUGCUUAGAAAACUCUUCUUGUAUGGUGUACACAAAUUUAGAUAUCAGAGGAGGAGGCAGUGGCUGUGCCAUGUGGUUUGGUGAACUGAUUGACAUGAGAGACUUUCCAGAUGGUGGGCAGGACUUGUAUAUUCGAAUGUCUGCUUCAGAGAUAGGUACCCGUGGACUUGUUUUUGUCACUCCAUUAUGGGAACUUACGAGUACCACUCCAGUUAGACUAGUUCCACAUUUUUAUUGUGCAAUUUAGUAUUGAGUUCUGAUUGAGAAGCUCCUUUCGCAUAAAGCAGUUUCUGGGUAUAGCAUCUAUGCAUAUAAUUCUUUUGCUACUUGAAUCAUUUGAUUAUUGACUUGCUCUGCUAUAUUAGAAUACACUGAUCAAGGAGCAAAAGGUAAGCCUACAACAAAGAUAGUGGUGAUAGUCGUUCCUACAGCUGCUCUGUUAGCUGCGGUGCUCAUAGCUGGCUACUUGAUUCACAAAAACAGGAGAAAUAUAGUAGUUAUAAUAGCACUCCAUUUUCCUUCACAAAUUUUCAUUGACGACUUGAUGUAGGGAAAUCAAACUCUUAUAAAUAUUAAAUUUAUAAGAGUACAUUAAAUUUUUAUAUGCAGCAAUAACUGUAUAUUUGUUUCAAGAUGAAGAGUUAACAGUGCAUAUCAUUUAGAUCAGGGGCAAGGUAAUUAAACUUGUAAAUUUUUUGUUGCAAUAGCAGAUUUACUUACUUGCAUUUAGUGUUAUAUCAUUACACACCUCUUUUUCACCUAUGGUUCUUUAUUUACUUGCACUUUCAUAUUGACUGGAAAAUAGCUUUAAUACAAAUUUACAGAGAAAGAACCUCCUCAUCAAGAACACGAAAAUUGUAAUUACUAGUUAGUAGUUUGUCCAGUAUACGUACUGCAUAUGUGCUUUCAGUUAAUAUUAUCCAAUAUUUCAGAGAAAACAGAAAACAACAGGGAAACUGAUCAGGUUCAAAACAUGGACCUGGAGCUACCACUGUUUGAGUUAGCUACAAUUGCUAAUGCCACCAGUAACUUUUCAAUCAACAACAAGCUUGGAGAAGGUGGCUUUGGACCUGUUUACAAGGUAAACUUGAAACUUGCCAGUCAAAAAUAAUUAUUUUACCGGGCAACUAAAUUCACAUAUAUGUCUGGGCAGGGCACGCUAGUGGAUGGGCAGGAAAUUGCUGUGAAGAGGCUUUCGAAGAUUUCAUAGCAAGGAUUGAAGGAGUUAAAGAAUGAAGUUAUACUAUUUUCCAAAUUACAGCAUAGAAAUCUUGUAAAGCUUCUUGGCUGCUGCAUUCAGGGAGAGGAGAAAUUGUUGAUUUAUGAAUUCAUGCCCAACAAAAGCCUGAACUCUUUCAUUUUUGGUCUGGGUCCCUAUAACCUUAAAAUAAUCAGCUAGCUUGUGCCUUGAUUAUAGACGUUUCUUAUGUUAUUUCAGAAAAUUUUGUACUAACCUUAAUGCGGUAAUUUGUAGAUCAAGAAAGAUGUAAGAUAUUGGAUUGGUCCAAGCGUUUCCACAUUAUUUGUGGGACUGCUAGGGGUGUUAUGUACCUUCAUCAAGAUUCUAGAUUGAGGAUUAUACAUCGAGAUCUCAAAGCAAGUAAUGUGCUACUCGAUCAAGAUAUGAAUCCAAAAAUUUCAGAUUUUGGUUUGGCAAGAGCUUUUAGUGGAGACGAAACAGAAGGAAACACAAAAAGAGUGAUUGGAACAUAGUAAGUACUUCUUGUCAAGUGAUCUUUACGAUUCACUUGUACUGAUUAAUAAAAAUUAACUGAUUUAUUUUCAUAUUUUGAAGUGGCUAUAUGGCACCAGAAUACGCUAGUGAUGGGCAAUUCUCAGUAAAAUCCGAUGUCUUCAGCUUUGGAAUUUUAUUGCUGGAGAUAAUAAGUGGAAAGAAAAAUAGAGGAUUUUAUCAUUCCGACAACAAGCUUAACCUUAUAGGACAUGUAGGUAAAAUGCAUACGACAUUUUCUAACAUAAUUUGAACUAAAAAACUAUAGAUGAUAAAAGAGUUUUAAUAUGUUGUAGGCAUGGAAGUUGUGGAACGAAGGCAUGCCUUCACAAUUAAUCGAUCCGUGUAUUCAAGGCUCAUUCAAUCUUGCUGAAGUGAUACGAUGCAUCCACAUCGGUUUGUUAUGCGUGCAACAGCAUCCAAAGGACAGGCCAAGCAUGCCCUCAGUGAUUUUGAUGUUGGGCAGCGAGACUGUGUUGCCUCAGCCAAAGCAACCCGGUUACUUGGCGGACAGGAAAUCUACCAGACAAGAUUAUUCAUCAAGCACGCCUGAAUCAUGUUCAACUAAUACAAUUACGAUCUCUGAGUUGGAGGGUCGGUAGAGAAUCUAUUUGUGGUAUCAUGCCUUGUUCUACAUUGUCAAGUGCAAAAGCAGUAAUAUGUCAACCAAAUGGAAAGUUAAGAUAAAUGAUUGGACAAAAAAUGAUGAGGAUCAUCCAGUGAAUGCAUGUUGUGGAUCUAAAAGUUCAGAGGACAGGCCUAUUCGGCAGCUGACUACUUGGCCAAAAAUGCAGGCUCUAUACCUCUCGGAUUUCAUGUUUAUCAUGAACCUCCUGUAGGUCAUGAUCCUUGGCUUUGUUAUGAUAUGUAUGGGACAAUGAUUCCCCAUUCGGUUGUGUCUUAGCUUGGCUAAGCCUUUUUUUGGUAAAAAAAAAAAAAGAAUGUAGACUAAUGUUCAUAUAGAAAUUGUAAAUUAGAGGUACUGUGAGCAGUGUUGGGUCCAAAAAAAUGAUUAACCGAGAAUUAAAUUAAGUAAAAGCAAGACAUUAUUGAUUCCCUUCAUUCCUGUAAACCCGCCGAAUUGUUCUUUCCUAAAUUAACUCAAGCAUUAAUUUUCUUUUUAGAACAAGAAAGAUAAAAUUUGUGAUUGGUGGAGUGGUUAAUUAUUAUUUUUGAUAAAUUUGAAUCUAUUUUUGAAAUAGAAAAAUGUUUUGGGUUGUGGGUCAUUAUUAUUUUUAAAUAAAGCGUGAGUUUCAAAGUUCAAGUUAAAAUUUAAAUUUUGUAGAUUUAUGAAUGUAUAGAGGCUAUUUUAAUAGAUUGAUGAAGGUUAAUUAGAAGGAAAAAGCUAUUUCCCCUGAAUUUAAUCCGGAAUUGCGCCCCGAAUUAGAAAAACGACGUCGUUUUGAUUCAAUUGAAAACGCUGCAUCAGAAACCACACUCACGCAGUCUCUUAGGGUCCGUUUGGUAUUGUUUCUGAAUUUGAAUUUUCUAAGAAUAAAAAUGAAAAUGAAAAUAGUGUUUUGCAGUUGUUGUAUUUUGAAUUUAAAUAUGCGUUUGGUAUCAUUUUCUGUAUCCUAUAUUUCUAAACUGAAAACAGUAAUAUGCGUGUGGUAGAUAUAGUUGAAAAUGAUAAAACCAAAUAAUAUGCGUUCGGUAAUACCUUUUUCAAAAACAGUUUUUACUAAGCAUUUUAAGUUAUAAUUAUAGUUAGAAAAUAAUUGUGACAAUAUUACAUACACGAAUAUACCAUAAUAAUUUAAGCAAAAUUAUUAUAAAAAAUUAAAUAAUGAUAAAGUUUUAUAAUUACCAUUAAUUAAAAAAAAAGUUUUACAUUGUCAUUGUUUUUAUACUAUAAUUAAGAUGUAUAUUGCAACACAUGAUUUAAACAAAAUAAUUAUAAAAAAUUAUAUAGUACACAUUAUGCAUUAUGUGUAAUCGUGCCUCAUAGAAGCUGCAAUCUCAUCUCUUAUAGCAUUCAUCUCUGCGACAUUAGCUGGUAACCAAAUCUUGCUAUCCUCACCACCAACAUCAUGUGGAUCCAUAUCUUGUUACUAUAAAAUUAGAAAAAAUAACAUAUAUCAAAUAUUAAUGAAAUUAAAGAAACUACUUCUAAACAUACAUAGCUCAAACUUUUGAAAUUAAUCAAAUUCAACAUAGCAUGAAAGCCAUUUUACCAAUAUGUCAUAGAUUAAAAAUUCAACAGUCCAAAAUAAAAAAUAUUCCAAUACAACUUCACCAAUUCAAAUUAAUGGCAUAAACAAAAACAGAUAUAUGUAUUCUGCAUCCUUAACACAAAUACAAUGCUAUUCGGCAAUCAUCAUUUUCCCCAAAUAUAUUUAUCUGAAAUUACAAUUUCCAGCUUGCAUUUCGAUUCAAUGACAGAGAGAAAAUAUUAAAACUCAUAAUGACCAAGCACACAAAGCAACAACAUAGCAACAAUUAAAGCAGCAAGACAAAUCCCCCAAUUCCAGUUCAUCGCUGCCUUUUUUUUCAUUCUGCAAACAAAAUCAAAGUGUACCAAAAAUAUUUUUACACGGUUUUGCUUUCAAAUCAACACAAUUACUCAUAAUCUAAAAUAAUUACUCAAAAUUAUUAAAACUCAUAAUAACAAAGCACACGAAGCAACAACAUAACAACAAUUAAAUCCCCCAAUUCCAGUUCAUCGCUUCCUUUUUUUUCCAUUCCGCAAACAAAAUCAAAGUGUAGCAAAACUAUAUUCACACGGUUUUGUUUUCAAAUCAACACAAUUACUCAUAAUCUAAAACAAUUACUCAAAAUUAUUUUGGCUUGAAUAGAGGGAAUACACAAUUAACAUGCUUUAAAAAAAUCUCGCAAAAUUAUUCAAACAAUUACUGAAAUAAAAAAAAUUACCAGCAAGCUGAGAGAGAUGCAGCAGUUCAGUCGAUCAAGUAGGAGCGGCGGUGGCUACACGGAGAUGGACAGCAGUGGCUAUGCUCAAACGGAGCAGCAACGGCCACGACGGAGAGAGAACGGCACACCAAAGGACAACCGCGGUAGAGACGAAGUUGCAGCGGCGGCAGAGAAAGUGUUGUUGGAGGGAGAAAAGGAGAGAGAGAGCGGGUAGAGAGAAGACUGCUACCGAAGAAAAGGAUGAGGAGAUAAGGAGAGAGAAAAUGUUGUUGGAGUAAGAAAAGGAGAAAGCACUGCUGCCGUGACUAGAUCGAUAACGAUGGCAGGGAGGGGGGGUGACCAGAUCGAGAACAAUGAGAGGGGGGAGAGGGUUGCUGCCGAAGAGAAUGAGUUUUGUUUCUUAAUCUAUUUUUGAGUUUAGUUUGUAAUAUUUAGGAAACAUGUUAAACACAUUUUCAUGUUUGUAGUUAUAACACUGGAUCUGAAUUUGUUAUUUUGUGAUUUGUUUUUUGAAUCCAUCUCACCAAACAUAUAUUAUGUUUGUAUUAUGAAAACAAAAAUGAAAACAAUGGGUAAAAAACGCUACCAAGUUACUUUCCUUUUGACAAACCAAAGACUCCAACACAAAUAGCAAUCACACCCACAAAUAGCAAUCACCCAACGGCCACGCGAACAGCCGGUACAGACGACAGACCACCGCCAUCACGUGAUCGAGGGAGUAGAACUCACGCGGUGGUGCGUCCAAACUCCAACGAAAUCGACGACGACGGAGGUAGUUAGAGCCACAGUUCUUUCGAGCUAAAUCGCUGGUGUUCCUAUUGGUUUUCAGCGACGAGGAUGGCAAGGAAACGAUGGCCAACUUCCAAUCUUCAGAUCAAUACCUUGAUCGGCCGGUAGAGUGGUCGGGAUCGUGAAAUCCAACCGGGUCACGUUUGCAGGUCAAGUCGGGUUUGCGGGUCAACUUCUCUCCCUCCUCAUCCACUCACAAAGCGCCACACGGCUCCCCUUGGCCAGGUUGUUGCUGCUGGAAUUUGUUUUGCUGGAACCAUUACUGGUGCUAGAAUUGAUGCUCGAGUUGUUGCUGCUAGAAUUGUUUUUGCUGGAAGUGUUACUGGAAUUUUUUUUGCUAGAAGUGUUACUGGUACUGGAGUUGGUGCUCGAAUUGUUGCUGCAAUUUUUUUUCUUUUUUUUGUGUUUGUGUGUAUGAACUAGAGGUGGCAAAAAUAUAUGCCCGGUCUAGACCCAGAUCAUACCCGAGCGUUGUUAUUCGGCCCGGGUAUAAAGUUGGGUUGAUCUUAGGUAUCACUUGAUAAACCCGGAACCUGGAUUUUAUUAAAAAAAUUAUAAAAAUAUAUUAUUUUAAAUAUUUAUAUUUAUUUGACUCAUUUAUUAUACAUAUAUAAAGUUUUAAAUACUUAAAAUUUAUAUUUUCAUGUUAAAUUUUAUUGAAAUAAAUUUAAAACUUAUAAAAUUAUCAAAAAAUAAAAAAUAUAUACACAUACUGCUGUACCGUACAUCCGCCUUGGCCGUACAGCAGUAAGAUAUGCAUUCACAAAUCAGAAGCAACCCGGACCCGGCCCAGGGUUUUGCCAUCCCUAGUGUGAACUCCUGAUUGUUUUUUAUUAUCUUGGGCACUUGUUGCUGCUGAUAUGUGUGUGUGAAAUUGCUUCAAUGAAUUGAAUACAACAAGUGCCCAAGUCUUGUUGGAAUCAACAAGUCUUGCUGCUGGAAUUGUUGCUACCGUUAGUGUUGCUGCAAUGAAUUGAAGAAGCAACGUCGUUCGGUUUAAGUGACCGUUUUAAAACUCACACACAUGUGCUGCACAGUUGCAAUUAAAAAGGAAAAGUGACCGUUUUAAAACACAGCGUUUUGGCAAAUUCAGAGUUAAGUUCGGGGCAUAUAGCAGCGCUCUAAUUAUAAACCCAAAUGAUUUUUUCUUUUAUUUUUUUUGUCUUUCACAUGCUAAAUCCACCACCCUUACCGAUAAAAAUUGGGAUGAUUUAUUUUUAUCCUAAUGAUCAUAAUAAAAAUUUUAAAAAAUUUUUACUAUUUUAUCAAAAUUAUUAUUUAAAAAUCAUAUUUACCCCAAUUUUUUUUUUAACUACAAUGUUUGAGGGUGUAUUAUGAAGUGACCAGCUAUACCCUAAACGAGAAGUCGACCUUCUUAUAAGUGAGCAGACAUGUGAGGUCUGGUAUCAGGUAGCCAAAAGCAGGCAUUUUCUGCUCGAUUACAAGGACACCCUCUGCUAGACCUUAGCACGAGCAGGAUUCCUGCUAGAAACCGAGAGCCUUCCUGCUGGAGACCGGGGUCGACAGACCCAGUCCAUAACAGUUAACGGGUGUGCACUUCUAUUCGAAAAUCUAAGCACGAAAUCCACUCGGCCGCAACUACAAUAUUCAAGCAUCCACUUCCGAGAGCUGGGGAGGUGGUGAACGUGGGUCAUGGGGGGCUAAAUUUAUAGGAAGACUAUAAAAGAGGUAAUCAACGAAGGUAAAAAGGUUAAACACUUUUACAUAAAAAUUAAGAAAAAAAAAGCAUUCUAGGAAAAACCUGUGAAAAGCUCAUAGGUAUUUUAUUGCCUAGGGAGCCACGAGAUCAGUGGCAGAAUUUCUUAAAAAGUCAACCCGAAUUUCUAAUUUGAGCGUUGAAGGGUUUACACGAAGAAAACUUCCAGCGUGCUCUGACUAAUUUGUGUGCACAGGAGUUCGUCGAGAAGAAGUUGCAAGAGGCAUACCUCUAUUCGCCUAGAAGAGUAACAUGAAGUAUACUCGGUAGGCUGCAAGUUUAAGAGUUAAAAAGAGAUCCUGAUCGUAAAUGAGCAGAAACUAAAAUCUCGCAUCAAUAUAUAUAUAUAUAUAUAUUUUUUCACCACGACUAUAACUUUUAAUAUAACUUAGGUUAUCAAAAUUUUGAGCUUCAUUCAACCAACCAUAAAUCAUGAUUAAAGUCUACGUUGCGUAAGUCAAGAAAGACUUUAAUGGGAGAGAGAUCAUCUUUAUUAUCGACACUACAAAUGGACCCCAAUUAUAUCUAAAGUCUUUGGGCUCGUGUCCCGUUGUCUUCUUCUUUUUCAAAACCCUAUUUACUAACCAUUAAUUCGGUUGGUUGAUAAAUCCGGCGGUUUCUGAUUUUCUUAUUUAUUUUUAUGCGAGUGACCCCGUAACGAUAGCAUCGCAAUCUCAUGAAAAAAAAUUUUCCAAACGCAUGAAAAUUGGACACCCAUCAACAAAAAUCUUUUUGUUACAGUAUUUACUGUACUUUCAAAAUUUUAAACAUGACAAAAAUUAAGUAAUCUACUUAUCAUAAUAAUCUAUGACCAAAAAUAUUGAACAUGUAAUUUUUUUUUUUUUUGUAAUUAUACACGCACAUCACUCUUUUACGAUUAAUUGACUAAACAAGUAUGAUAAACGAUUUUAUAAUGGAUUGUCUCAUAAUCUAAAUUUAUCAAAUAUUUUAAUGGUGAGACUAUUCGAAUUGAAUCCAUAAAAUUCUUUUAAAAUUUUCUUUACAACUUAUAACAUACUUUUUAGAAAGUCUAUCGAGUACUUAUUUAAAAAUUUUAUUUCAAUAGAUAUCAAGAAAAAUUAUUUGGUUAAGAGAAAUGAGCCCCUUUUGAGUUGGUGAAGCAUGAGCUCAUCACUAGGCAAUCCAUCAAAUUAUUCAAUAAACACAUUUACCCCACACAUCUAUAAUUAAUUAGAGGGAUGGAAUCAUUUGAACUUAUUAAAUUUCUCUUAACAUCCAUUUAUUUAACAUAUCCCCUAUCAAAAUCUUAAAAUUAAAUUUUAAUAAACCUCUUAAUACCCCACAAAUAACCGUUUUAUGGUUGGUGCAAUAAUUUAGAUAAUUAAAUUAUUUAUUGUUUUUGGUAAUUUUUAUUUAAGAUUAUUUUUGUAAUAUAAUUUUUUAUUUAAAAAUAGGUCUAAGGUGCAUUUUUAUGGGGCCCAAACGACCUUAAAAUUAGAAAAAUUAAAUUUUACCAUAUAAAAGCAAAACCUCUAGUACUUCCUAAAGUAUCCUUCAUUAGAUUUCUUUUUUUAAUUCUAUUAUUUUCUCUCUCCUAAAGAAGUUGCUGUAUCCUUUCUGGUAAGAUGCUCUGUUCAGGCUUCAAUGUUGUUGGAUUGAAUUGGCAACUGAACUCGAAUCAAUUCUCAUGCAAGGGUUGGGGAAUUUGCUCAACUUAUAAUUGGUAGGUUUAUGCCUUUGGGAUCAAACUCAUUUCGCCUCUCCAAGAAUCUGCAAAAUUAAUUUGUAUUAUCAUGUCGGCGCUGCUUAUAAUUAGUAGUGCUUGCAUUGCCCUGAAUUCAGGCAUUGCUUGAGUAGAGUUGGGCUUGCUGAUUCAUUUUAGUGACAAAUGAAAACAUUAAAAAAAAAAAAUCAGGACUUGUUCGUCCAAAUUUACAGAUAUUUUGUUCUUUAAUUAAUUUUAUUAUAACAAACAAUAGGAUAGCAGUGUUGUUUAACCAGUUGCUUACACCUUGGCAAUAUAGCUUUGUGUUUUUUUUUUCUUUUUUCUUAUUCAUAGAGAUGUCAAAUUCUCUAUCUUCACCAUAAUUCUAGAUUGAGGAUUAUACAUAGAGAUCUCAAAGUAAGUAAUGUGUUACUUGAUAAUGAGAUGAACCCAAAAAUUUUAGAUUUGUGUGAGAUGGCACUGUUCACAUUAUUUUUUUAAUUUCUUUAAUUAAAAUAACAAAACUAAAUAAAAAUGUAUAAUAUUUAAUAAAAUUAAAAAUUCAAGUAUGUUGCCGCUAGUGCUGAUGAACUACUAGCGAAAGUUCGACGGCGGCUAGCCACAGGUGGCUACUGCAUGACAUCAUGUUUUACCCUAAAAUUUGGUAUCAUUAAAAUUCUCAUUGUCGGGGCUUCACAGUAAUGCCAAAACCUUGAAUGUAGAUCGAUGGUGAAUGAAAAUUCCUUUGCCAAUGAUAGUUGACCAUUGCAUAGCCCUAAUAAUAAUGAUUCUAAUGGUAUCAAAAUAUAGUUCAAAUGGUACUAAAGUGGGAUGGUCAAGGUGAAAAUUUUUUAUUUUGAUUAUAAAAUUUUAAAUUAUUAAUUGAAUAUAAAUAAUAAUAGAAUAUAAAUGAAACUUUGAUUAUAAUUUAAUAUAAAUAUUAAAAUAGAAAUUAUUAUUUUAAAUAAUACAAUGCAAGCUACAUCAAACACCAUAUUGUAUUACAGCUUAAUACAAUAUAAUAUAAUACAAUAUAGUAUGUCAAACGCACCCAUAAAAAAAAAUUCAAAAUCACAAGAUUUAUUUGGUGGGCUUUACCUGCAUUAUCCUCAGUUUACUUUUUGAGUCAAAUAAACAAUAGGCCCCAGAGACUUUUUAGUUCAUCAUGCUAUUGCUUUAGAUGUACAUACAACUAUAUUGAUCUUGGUAAAGUGGACAGUUUACUUUUUGCGUCAAAUACUAUGUUGGGAUUAAUUUUUUAUAAAAUUAGUCUAUUCCACUGUCUUUAACUGCAUCCAAACAUACCCCAAUGGUUAACUAUGAGAAAAUUUAAUAAGACUAGCAAUUUGUUUACUUGGAAUUGGAAUGGACAAAAAUUGCAAUGAGUUGAAAUCAGAACAGGCUGGAAUUGAUCACAUGAGAAAUAAGAAUCAAAGUAAAUUAUAUACUUGAAUCGAAAUCAACAAAAUUCCAAUUGAUGUAUUUACUUUUGUCUUGUAAUCCAAAUAAGUUGUCACAAGUCAUAAAAAUGUCCUUAGUUCCACUCUUGCCAGAUGUCAUGAUGAUAUACGUUUCAUCCAUCUGGUAAGCGAAGGAGUUAUUGCAAGUUAAAAAAAUGUCCUUAGUUACAAUUAUGUAUUUUUCUAUGUAAAAUAAAUAAGCAAACAUUUUUAAAGAAACCAUUGGCAUAUUUAUUAUAAUAUUGAGUGUAAUACAAUGAGUUUUUGAGUAAACUAGUAGUUGUUGUUGUUAUUUUAAAUCGAUAAUAACUACUAUUAAUAUUAUUAUUGUAGGGAAAUUAAAGCCCUAACUUCUUAUUAAUUUAAUUCCUUCUUAUUACCAGAAGGGGAACCAAAGUUCAAAUACCAAGUUUUUGUUGCUGGCAGGACUCGAACCUACGCCCCUCAACUUUCUAGGUAUAGGUUCUCCCAUUAGAUUACAAGGUCGGCUUGUGUUAUUGUUACUACUAAUACUAUUAUUAUUAUAAUUGUUUAUUUUCUUAUUAGUAUAAUUAAUCUUAUUAAGAUUAUUUAAUUAUGUAAUAGGAAUAAAAUCAAAAUUUCAGAAAUUAAGGGAUAGUAAAAUAAUUAAUUUAGAAAAUAAAAAUCGCAAUCCCACCUUCUCAUAGAAAUAAGAUUCUCAUUCCCACCUUUAAAAUUUGGUGGGCCUCACAAAUUUCAUUCACAUUCUCAAAUAUCAAAUAAGCAAGUAAAUAAUGGAAUCAUUUCCGGUCUUCCAUUCUUGACUCCCAUUCCAAGAAGUUAAUAACCUUUAAUAGAACGUUCAAAUGAAAAGACUAGCCAGGCCUUGAGAAUUGACAUCCAUCAAUUAUCUCUUCCGUGUUAGAAAUAUAUGUUAUUUGUUUUGUCUUUUUUUUUUAAUUCAUAUAUUGUUGAAAAGUCAAAAUUGACGAUUUGUUUAUUCAAAUUGAUUGAAAAAUAAGAGGUGAGCCACAUGCAUAAUUGACUUUUGGAAGAGGUAGGAAUCGCAUGCAUGAUUUCUUUCAAAAAUGAAGAAUUUUUGUAACUUUAUGAAGACUUUUUUUAUGCAAUUGAAGAGUUUUUCAAAAGGUAGAAAUGGUGGCCCAAAUCAUUGAAAUAAUUGCAUGUAAAUUAGAUGUUAGGUGUUGGUGCCUAUAAAUAGAGAGCAUUUCUUCAUUUCAUUUCAUCCCAAAAAUUUGAGAGCUUAAGAGAAAUUGCAAGUGAAACAAUUAUAAAGUUCUGAGAGUGUGAGCAAUUGGAGAGUGUGUGUGAGAGUAUUUGGUGUAUUUAGGUUUUGGGAAAGUGAGGUUUUUCUACUUAAAUUUGUACUCUAAUAAUUGUUGGUAAUACAAUUAUUUUUCUUUUGCUCCCGUAGACGUAGGCAUAUUGCCGAACCACGUAAAAUUCUGUGUCUUUUAUUUUUCUGUGAUUAUUUGGUGCGCUUGAUUCUGUAUUCCGUGCACAACAUAUAUGAUCACUCUUGAAUCUCAAAAAGCAAAAAAAAAAAUCCCAUUAAAAAAGAUCCAUUGCAACUUGUAGACAAAUACAAAACAGAAAAAUUAGUAUUCCUAGUCCACUGCCCCGUUAAGAGACUAUCAUUUUUCUUACCUAUGAUCGAAGCUUCAUUUGGAGGAUAUGCUGUACAGAGUAGUUUUCCAAUCCAGUAUCUUGGAUUGGAGUUAUAAUCCGGGGGACAAUUUGUAGCCGUCGGAUCAAAUCCAAUGGCAACUUAUAUUUUUAUUUCAAAUAUUGAUUCCGACAGUAGGGCCCACAUGCAGACUUUUACAAUUUUUAAGGGUUCAGUUAUGUUGCAAGAGUUGUCAGGACCUCAAUUUUUAUCUUUUGUGAUUUAACUAAUGUAAAUUUAACAGAACGCCUUAUACUCUAUUUUAUUCAUAAAAUAUUAACAAAUAUUAUGAUACCUUUUACUUACAUACACUAUUAAAAUUCUAUUUAACACCUUACACUCUUUUUAUUUAUUAUUUUCAUAAAUAUUAAAGUAUUUAUUUGUUUACAUCCAACACUAAUAUUAACAAAAAGACAACAAUACCCUUAAAUUUAUAAACUAAAAAUAAAAUUUUAGAUUUGGAGCCAGCAAGUUUAAGGGACUCCAAAUCCAAGAUUGUGACUCUCUGUUGGUGCCUUUGACUACAAGUAACGCCAUGCCAUUGGCAGAAGUGGAUGGAUUCAUUCGACGAGCCUAAAGCACCAAGAGGAUCAUGGGUGAUCUUGGACUUGAAUUCAAGCAAGGCUAAUCGAUCUGUCCCGUUGCCAACAACUUCAGAAGCCCUCACACCAAGGAUUUCAGGAAUUAGAAUGGCGUGGAAGCUGAAGCAGAAUACAAGGACAGCAUACGCAACUAAAAAAGAGCAAGGGCAAGGCACUCUUAUGCUCAUGUUGAACGGAAAAUUUUUAUCUCGGAGUUGCAGGUAAAUGGUGGAAUGGAUUUGUCAAAAUUUAAGGUUCAACAAUCAAGAAUAUAGACAAAUGUAUUCACUCAGCAAGGCUCUAUCUGUAAUUAUUAUUAUGAUAAUAAUGUAACAUUCAUAAUUUUGUCAAACAGCUUUCGGAGGGUUUAAUAUUCAUUUAAGUUCGUAAAAAUCUAAAGUUCAUAAUUUUGUCAAACAGCUCUAUUUGUAAUACACUUGACUUGUUCUGGGAAAUUUCCCAGCCAAAGAACUUGCUUGUAAAAAUCUAAAGCAGCCUUAGCUAAAUAGUGAGCAAUAAAAUUACAGCUCCUAGAGACAUAUGUAAUUGAGGCCGAUGUCUGGACUUUCAUUUUUUCUUGAAUCUCUGCAAUUCUCCACGAAAUUUCAGCCUUGCUGCUCUUCUUACUUAAAUCUAGUUCCACCACUUCCUUUGAGUCUGAUUCAAGGAUCAAAGGGAAGCAAUCUGCUUGUUGAGCACUUUGAAAACCGAGCAGCAUAGCUUCAGCUUCCAUACAAGCUACAUUUUCUUGAUAUGGGAUUCCCUGGACUGCUGCAGCAACAACUUUGCCUCUGCAAUUUCUAAUAACUGCUCCCAGCCCUGCUUUUUGUUUUGAGACAUUGAUUGCCGCAUCAACAUUAACUUUGAACCACCCAUUUGGAGGAGUAGUCCAUUCCAACUUUCUGUUCUUGCUGUGCUCUGGAAUGGCUUGGGCAUUUGGGAUUUAAUUCGUCAGUACGACUCCACUAUAGCUCCUGCUCUGGCAAAAGAUUGCUUCGGAUCUUCAUCCUUCCCUUAAAAAAAAAAACGAUUUCUGGAAUACCAGAUAGCCCAGCACACAGCAACAAAAAACUCCAGAUCCUUCUUUCUUCUCUUCAAAGCUACAUCUUGAAUCACACUUAACAUGUCCUGACGAGCCAACUGUUUAACUUCCUCAUCAAGAUCUGUAAAUUUCCAAAUCCUCCUCGCUGCUUUGCACUCCACUAAAGCAUGGAAAACAUCCUCACCUCUGCACUUGCACCUUUGACAAAAGGGAUCCGACACUACUUUCCUCCUCCAUAGAUUAUGCAUUGUUGGUAACAAUUCUUUCCGUCCUUGACGACCAAGAUCAGUCGGUAAUUGGUGCCGGAAACCAUCUUAGUCUCACCCUUCUCCACGCUCUUGAACUUGAACUCGUUCUUUGACUGUUUUUUUUGUACUCAUCACUGCAAACAGCCCGAUCUCUGUCACGUGCGGCUUGCUGAGGUCUUCUUUCGACUUCCAUCCCCCAACUAAGACUCCUUUACGAUCGCCGGCGGCCAGGAGAGGGGUUGUUGCCAUGGCUUUUCACGACCACAAAAUACGUAAUCCCUGCACCUUAUCCAUUUUCUUCUAACACUUGUCAAGAAGGGUAAUUUUGUCCUUUUAAGAUUUAUAAACAAAAUAUAAAUAAAAUUAGUGCAGGUGUUCAAGUAAAUUUGACAACAUUUAAAUUAUAAAAGACAAAAGUUAGGGUACGACAGUUGCAACAUAGCCGAGUCCAUUUUUAAUAUUAAAAAGUAAAGCUGCUUUUAAAUAGAGAACUGAUAUUCCCUCCCCAGAUUCUUCAUCAUCUGACUAAAGCCAAAAAGAACUGAUACUAACAAAUCACCAUUUGGGAUUUCCACUUUUUCAUUAUCCAUUUUAGUACAACUUAAAUCAAGGGGGGAAAAGGAAUAAAACAAGCAGAUGAUUACACAUGCACACUGAUUUCCAUUUUGUCACCAUUUCUUGCCGAUGUUGCCGUAAUUCUUUUUUUUUUUUGGUUUAUCUCAAACUUUGUAAUUUUAUUAAUAUUGAGGGCAUAAAAAACAACGAGUUCAUGAUCCAUCUGAUUUUAGUAAAUCAAUCAGGUGAGCUUUGCUAUUAACUUUCCUUCACCGGCAACUAUAGAGAAGUGCUGGAGCAGGAUCUCCAGACUCCAGUCAGGCAUCAACAUCCAUCAAAAACUCACAAAACUUUCUCUCUUAAUCGCCUUUACAGACUCUUCGUUUCUCAUUUUUCUCGCUUUCUUCUUCUUCGAAAGCAGCGAGCCCUUCCAAUCCCUUCUUUUGUGGCUCUCCUUUUCCCUCUUCAUUCGCCCCUUCGCCAUCGCUCAACUCACCUGCGGUCACACUGCGUCGGUCACAGCCCAAUCAUUGAAACCCCUCAUAUCCAGAUCCAAAGAUUAAAAGGAAGCCUUAGAAGUCGCAAAAGAACCGAUCUUUAAACCCCCCACAGUUCGGUUCUGAUCGUUAAAAACUCAAAUGUGUCAAUUCGAAUUGAGUAAAAAGAGAAGAAAUUUGAAGUCUUGGAGGAAUGAAAUGGAGAGGAUAUUCAGAUUCUGAAAAGCAGUGAUGAAGAAACCGAUGGGGAAGAUCAGUUCUCUCUCUAAAAAUUUAUUAGGCAACUUUUUUUUUUAAUAUUAAAAAUUAUAAAAAUCUGCAUGUAGACCCUUAUGUUGGAAUCAAUAUUUGAAAUUAAAAUAUAAGUUGCCGUUGGAUUUGAUCCGACGGCUACAAAUUGUCUCCCGGAUCUUGGAUUGGAAAACUACUCAUGCUGUAAAAAUGAUUUAGCUCAUGUGAUUAAUAAAUAUAUACGAUCAUAAUUAAUUUCCAGCUUCUGGGGAAGUUAAAAAAUCCUUAUUUUUCCAUUUGUGUUUUAUGCAUGGUUUUUUACAAUUUUAUAUUUAAGUUUAAUAAAUUGAAUAGUACGUGCGUAUCAUUUCAUUUUGUUUAUGUUUAUGUCUCCAUCUUUAAUUUUAAGGACGCUAUAUAUAUUAACUCAUAUUUCCAACAGCCGUACUUUAAUAGGAACAAGAAGACAUGAUUUCUAUUAGAUCAUAUUCGACAGAUUUCUAAAAUUAUACCAAUAUAAAUUCAUUAUUAGUUAGAUGAGAAAUAAGAAAUUUAAUUACAACAAAUGAUUUACAACGAUGACCCAAGUAAACACUCAGUCAAGUCAAUGGAUAAAUUAACUCGCGUCACUGUUUCGUCACUAUUAUUUUUUCGGCUCAAUUAUGAUUACACUUGGAAUCUGUAAGCUGCAGCAUCAGCCGUUGGAUGUGGAGUGAGAAACUAAACAAUAGAAAAUGGGAUGGUGCGAGAUGUUUGACAGAUAAAGCCUCUGUAAUUAGUAUUUUUUUCGGCUCAAUUAUGAUUAUUACAGUUGGAAUCUCGGAGCCAGCAAAAAAUUAUCCGUUGAUGACAACCGAUUGCAACUUAUAGACAGAUACCAAAAAUAUAAUUAGUAUUCAAUGUCCUUUGUGAAGUUCUACACGUAAUUUAGCCGGUGGGGUUUUUCGAAAUUAUUGAUUAUUCUUUCCUUUGAAAUUAAUAUAAAAAAACAGCUCCAUAAUUUUUCUGUGUAAUUUAAAACUAUUGCAUGACGUUUUCUAUUCGGCCAUCCAUUAUUUAAUUGAUAACGGCCCAGCAUGCAUAUGGCUAGAAAUUCGCUUCUUCUAUUCUAAUUAAAUUUCAUGUAAACUUUUCUCAGUUCUCAGUGUUUGCCGAUAUAUUGAAGACCAUAAUAAUAAUAAUUAUUAUUAUUAUUAUGAUGAUGAUGAUGUAUUACAUCCCAAAUUGCCUUCGUUAUAAUAUUUGGCCCUAAAACUAAUAAAAAUAAAGAGUUGUACUAUUGCAUAAUUGUAAAUCUAUGACAAAUGAAAAUUAUUUAUUGGUAAUAGUUGCAUAACCCAAAUAAUAAUUAUUUUAAUGGUAUCAAAAUCUAGUUCAAAUGGCACUAAAGUACGGCGGUGAAAUUUUUUUAUUUUAAUUAUAAAAAUUUAAAUUAUUAAUUAAAUAUAAAUAAUAAUAAAAUAUAAAUGAAUCUUAGAUUAUUCCUAGUUUCCUACAAUUUUGGUGGGUCCCGACAUUAGGCGGAAGUGUACAUUGCCAUAAGAAGUCAAGAACGACUUUGGUGGGUCCCGACAUUAUUCCUACAUUUUAAGUCUUCGGCUCAUUUAUUUCCCAUUUUCUUUAUCUUUUUCAUAAACAUAUUUUCUAACCAUUGGUUUUUAUUUCUUAAAUACGACGGUUUGACUCCAGAAGCAUUGACUUUCAGUUCAAUGCCGUUAAAGAUGGAUCAUUAGUCACGGUAUUAGCAUCUAUAGAGUUUGUUAGAGAGAGAUCUAAACCAAUACACAAAUGGGUGUACUUUCAGGUCAGUGCCCUCCAAUAUGGAUUAUCAGUCAUGGUGUUUAAUUAUAUUUAUUUAAUUUGUUAGAGAGAGCUCUACGCCUAUAGAGUAUAACAAAUGGAUGUACUUUCGUUUUCGUUCGUCUGUUGUAAGUUACUGUUUUUUUUGUCUAAAUCCUCUUUCACUUCCGACACCAUUACUUCAUUUCAGUCCCUCAGCGAUGGCAGGACCUUAGUUUCGAAAGAAGGAAGCUUUGAGCUUGGUUUCUUCAGUCCUGGUAGUUCCAAGAAUCGUUACGUAGGGAUUUGGUACAAAAAUAUGCCAGUUAAAACUGUUGUUUGGGUUGCAAAUCGAAUCAACCACAUUAAUGACUCUUCUGGCUUGUUAGUUGUAAACAAGACGGGCAAUCUUGUUUUAACAAGCCAGAACAAGAGUGUAGUUUGGUCAGCAAACUUGAGCAAAGAAGUCCGGACUCCAGUUGUAUUGCAGCUACUAGAUUCAGGAAAUCUUGUCCUCAGAGGUGAACGAGAUGGCGGUUCUGAAACUUAUUUAUGGCAAAGCUUUGAUUAUCCUUCUGAUAAUUUGCUACCAGGAUGAAGCUCGGAUGGGAUUUCAAGGCUGGUCUUGAGCGGCGUAUAACAUCAUGGAAGAGCUCAGACGACCCGUCUCCCGGAAACUUUAUUUGGAAAACUGAACGACAAGAUAACCCUGAGUUAGUCAUGUGGAAGGGAUCAAGAAAGUUUUAUAGGACUGGCCCCUGGAAUGGCCUUAUAUUCAGUGCUUCAUCACUCAGGCUUAACCCAAUUUUUAAGUAUCGCUUUGUCUUCAAUGAGGAUGAGCUGUACUACACAUUCUACCUCACAGAUAAAGAUGUUAUCUCAAGGACUGUUAUGAACCAAACACUCUAUUUACGUCAACGAUUCAUAUGGAAUAAAGCAACUAAAAGUUGGGAGUUGAAUGCAAAUGUGCCAAGAGAUCUAUGUGACACUUACGCCCUUUGUGGCGCCUAUGGCAUUUGCAUCAUUAGCAAAUCGCCUGUUUGCCAAUGUUUAAAAGGUUUCAAACCUAAAUCAGAGGUUUAUGUGGAACGGUCUCAAGGGUGCGUACGUACUAAGCCGUUAAACUACUCUCGACGUGAUGGUUUUGUCAAAUUUAAUGAUCUGAAAUUGCCAGAUUCUACUUCCUCUUGGGUUAGCAAAAGUAUGAAUCUCAAUGAAUGCCGGGAGAAAUUCUUAGACAACUCUUCUUGGAUGGCAUACGCAAAUUCAGAUAUCAGAGGAGAAGGCAGUGGCUGUGCCAUGUGGUUUGGCGAUCUGAUUGACAUGCGAAGCGUUCCAGAUGCUGGGCAGGACUUCUAUAUUCGAAUGUCUGCUUCAGAGCUAGGUAUCCGUUUACUUGUUUAAGUUACUCCAUUAUGAGAACUUAGGAGUGCCACUCCAGUUAGAUUAGUUCCAUAUUUUUAUUGUGUAAUUUAGUAAUGAGUUCAGAUUGAGAUGCUCCUUUCACAAAAAGCAGUUUCUGGGUAUGGCUUCUGUGCAUAGAAUUCUGCUGCUAUUUGAAUCAUUUUUUCUUAGCUAUAUGAUUAUUGACUUGCUUUGCUAUAUCUGAAUAUGCUGAUCAAGGAGCGAAAGGUGAGCCUAGGACGAAGAUAGUGGUGAUAGUCAUUUCUACUGCUGCUCUGUUAGCUGUGGUGCUUAUAGCUGGCUACUUGGUUCACAAAAGGAGAAAUAUAGUGGGUAUAAUAUUGCUCCAUUUUCCUUCACAAAUUUUCGUUGACGAUUUGAUGCAGGAAAAUCAAACUCUUAUAAAUAUUAAAUUUACAACAGUCGAUUAAGUUUUUAUAUGCAACAAUAAUUGUAUGUUUGUUUCAAGAUGAAGAGUUAACAGUGCAUAUCAUUUAGAUCAGGGGCAAGGUAAUUAAACUUGUAAAUUUUUCACCUAUGGUUCUUUAUUUACUUGCACUUUCAUAUUGACUGGAAUAUAGCUUUAAUACAAAUUUACAGAAAAAGAACCUUCUCAUCAAGAACAUGAAAAUUGUAUACGUACUGCAUAUGUGCUUUCAGUUAAUAAUAUCCAAUAUUUCAGAGAAAACAGAAAACAACAGGGAAACUGAUCAGGUUCAAAACAUGGACCUGGAGCUACCACUGUUUGAGUUAGCUACAAUUGCUAAUGCCACCGAUAACUUUUCAAUCAACAACAAGCUUGGAGAAGGUGGCUUUGGACCUGUUUACAAGGUAAACUUGAAACUUGCCAGUCAAAAAUAAUUAUUUUACCGGGUAACUAAAUUCACAUAUAUGUCUGGGCAGGGCACGCUAGUGGAUGGGCAGGAAAUUGCUGUGAAGAGGCUUUCGAAGAUUUCAUAGCAAGGAUUGAAGGAGUUAAAGAAUGAAGUUAUACUAUUUUCCAAAUUACAGCACAUAAAUCUUGUAAAGCUUCUUGGCUGCUGCAUUCAGGGAGAGGAGAAACUGUUGAUUUAUGAAUUCGUGCCGAACAAAAGCCUGGACUCUUUCAUUUUUGGUCUGGGUCCCUAUAACCUUAAAAUAUUCGGCUAGCUUGUGCCUUGAUUAUAGACGUUUCUUAUGUAUUUUCAGAAAAUUUUGUACUAACCUUAAUGUGGUAAUUUGUAGAUCAAGAAAGAUGUAAGAUAUUGGAUUGGUCCAAGCGUUUCCACAUUAUUUGUGGGACUGCUAGGGGUGUUAUGUACCUUCAUCAAGAUUCUAGAUUGAGGAUUAUACAUCGAGAUCUCAAAGCAAGUAAUGUGCUACUCGAUCAAGAUAUGAACCCAAAAAUUUCGGAUUUUGGUUUGGCAAGAGCUUUUGGUGGAGACGAGACAGAAGGAAAUACAAACUGCGUAGUUGGAACAUAGUAAGUAUUUUUUUGUCAUGUGAUCUUUACGAUUCACUUACAUUGAUUAAUGAAAAUUAACUUAUAUAUUUAAUCUUUUGAAGCGGUUAUAUGGCACCGGAAUAUGCUAGUGAUUGGCAAUUCUCAGUAAAAUCCGAUGUCUUCAGCUUUGGAAUUUUAUUGCUGGAGAUAAUAAGUGGAAAGAAAAAUAGAGGAUUUUAUCAUUCCGACAACAAGCUUAACCUUAUAGGACAUGUAAGUAAAAUGCAUAUGACAUUUUCUAACAUAGUUUGAACUAAUAAACUAUAGAUGAUAAAAGAGUUUUAAUAUGUUGUAGGCAUGGAAGUUGUGGAACGAAGGCAUGCCUUCACAAUUAAUCGAUCCAUGUAUUCAAGACUCAUUCAAUCUUGCUGAAGUGAUACGAUGCAUCCACAUCGGUUUGUUAUGCGUGCAACAGCAUCCAAAGGACAGGCCAAGCAUGCCCUCAGUGAUUUUGAUGUUGGGCAGCGAGACUGUGUUGCCUCAGCCAAAGCAACCCGGUUACUUGGCGCACAGGAAAUCUACCGGACAAGAUUAUUCAUCAAGCACGCCUGAAUCAUGUUCAACUAAUACAAUUACGAUCUCUGAGUUGGAGGGUCGGUAGAGAAUCUAUUUGUGGUAUCAUGCCUUGUUCUACAUUGUCAAGUGCAAAAGCAGUAAUAUGUCAACCAAAUGGAAAGUUAAGAUAAAUGAUUGGAUAAAAAAUGAUGAGGAUCAUCCAGUGAAUGCAUGUUGUGGAUCUAAAAGUUCAGAGGACAUGCCAAUUUUGCAGCUGACUACUUGGCUAAAAAUGCAGGCUCUAUACCUCUCGGAUUUCAUGUUUAUCAAGAACCUCCUGUAGGUCAUGAUCCUUGGCUUUGUUAUGAUAUGUAUGGGACAAUGAUUCCCCGCUCGGUUGUGUCUUAGCUUGGCUAAGCCUUUUUUUGGUUAAAAAAAAAAAUAGAAUGUAGACUGAUGUUCAUAUAGAAAUUGUAAAUUAGAGGUACUGUGAGCAGUGUUGGGUUCAAAAAAUGAUUAACCGAGAAUUAAAUUAAAUAAAAGCAAGACGUUAUAAUUUUUUUGAUGUAAAAUAUUUACUAAUACAUUUAUGAGAAUAUCUUUGGUGCUUUUGGAGCAUUUUUAUCUAUUCACAAUUUAUCACUUGUGUAUAUAUGUCAUCAUGAUUAGUAGAAGCAUACACAUGACAAAGAGUAAAUGAAAAAGGAGAAGCUCUCCAAGAGUACCCAAGAUUUUUCCUACAUUUUAAAAACCAUGUGUAAUAUUCUCAUUAUCAAUACUAUUAAGUACGUCCUUUUCUACAUAAACAACAAAAUUAAUAUUGAUCCAUUCAUCUCUCAUUCAAUUUCAGCGUUAAUUCUUCAUGAACUUAAUUGCUGAAAACGUUCUCUCUACGGUGGUUGUGGGAACCGGAAGAAUUAUAACUAAGUGUCACCAACGAAUAUAUUAAUACUGUAAUGGAUACUCUUUAUCUUUUUUAGUCUCAAACUAUUCUUUUAGCAACGUAUUGAUUCCCUUCACUCCUGCAAACCCGUCUAAUUGUUCUUUCCUAAUUUAACACAAGCCCUUAUUUUCUUUUGAGAACAAGAAAGAUAAAAUUUGUGAUUGGAGGGGUGGCUAAUUAUUGUUUUUAAUAAAUUUGAAUCUAUUUUUUGAAAUAGAAGAAUGUUUUGGGUUGUGAGUUAUUAUUAUUUUUAAAUAAAGCGUGAGUUUAAAAGUUCAAGUUAAAAUUUAAAAUUUGUAGGUUUAUGAAUGUAUGGAUGCUAUUUUAAUAGAUUGAUGAAGGUUAAUUAGAAACCCAAAUAUUUUUUUCUUUUUUUUCUAUUUUUUGUCUUUCACAUGCUAAAUCCACCACUCAUACCGAUAAGAAUUGUGAUGAUUUAUUUUUAUCCUAAUGAUCAUAAUAAAAAUCUUUUAAAAAUUUUACUAUUUUAUCAAAAUUAUUAUUUAAAAAUUAUAUUUACCCCAACUUUUUUUAACUACAAUUAUUUUUUCACCAGGACUGUAACUUUUAAUAUAACUUAGGUUAUCAAAAUUUUGAGCUUCAUUCAACCAACCAUAACUAUCAUGAUCAAAGUCUACGUUGCUCAAGUCAAGAAAGACUUUAAUGGGAGAGAGAGAAUUAUUAUUAUCGACAUUACAAAUGGACCCCAAUUAUAUCUAAAGUCUUUGGGCUCCUGUCUCGUUUUCUUCUUCUUUUUCAAAACCCUAUUUACUAACCAUUAAUUUGGUUGGUUGAUGAAUCCGGCGGUUUCUGAUUUUCUUAUUUAUUUUUAUGCCAGUGACCCCGUAACGAUAGCAUUGCAAUCUCAUGAAAAAUGGACACCCGUCAACAAAAAUCUUUUUGUUAAGUAAUCUACUGAUUAUAAUAACCCAUGACCAAAAAUAUUGGACAUGUCUUCCUUUUUUUUAGUAAUUAUACACUCACAUCACACUUUUACGAUUAACUGACUAAACAUGUAUGAUAAACGAUUUUAUAAUAGAUUGUCUCACAAUCUAAAUUUACCAAAUAUCUUCAGAAAUUAUUUGUGAAGUUGAUUACUUCAAAAGUCAAGUUUGAAUAUUAAUUAAUUGUGAGAAUAUUCGAAUUAAAUCCAUAAAAUUCUUUUAAAAUUUUCUUUAAAGCUUAUAACAUACUUUUCAAAAAGUCUGUCGAGUACUAAUUCAGAAAUUUAUUUCAAUAUAUAUUAAGAAAAUUUAUUUGGUUAAGAGAAAUGAGCCCCUUUUGAGUUGGUGAAGCCUGAGCUCAUCAUUAGGCAAGCCAUCAAAUUAUUCAAUAAACACAUUUGUCCCACACAUCCAUAAUUAAUUAAAAGGAUGGAAUUAUUUGAACUUAUGCAAUUUCUCAUAACAUCCAUUUAUUUAAUAUAUCCCCUAUCAAGAUCUUAAAAUUAAAUUUUAACUCUAUAAACCGCUUAAUACCCCACAAAUAACCGAUUUAUGGUGGGUGCAAUAAUUUAGAUAAUUAAAUUAUUUAUUGUUUUUGGUAAUUUUUAUUUAAGAUUAUUUUUGUAAUAUAAAUUUUUAUUUAAAAAUAAGUCUAAGGUGCAUUUUUAUGGGGCCCAAAUGACAUUAAAAUUAGAAGAAUUAAAUUUUACCAUAUAAAAGUAAAACCUCUUGAAAUUCCUAAAGUAUCCUUGAUUAGAUUUCUUUUUAAUUUUAAUAUUUUCUCUCUGCCAUAGAAGUUGCUAUGUCCUUUCUUGGUAAGAUGCUCUGUUCAGGCUUCAAUGUUGUUAGCUUGAAUUGGCAAUUGAACUCGAAUCAAUUCUCAUGCAUGGGUUGGGGAAUUUGCUCAACUUAUAAUUGGUAGGUUUAUGCCUCUGACCAAACUCAUUUCGCCUCUCCAAGAAUCUGCAAAAUUAAUUGGUAUUAUCAUGUCGGUGCUGCUUAUAAUUAGUAGUGCCCGCAUUGCUCUGAAUUCAGGCAUUGCUUGAGUAGAGUUGGGCUUUGCUGAUUCAUUUUAGUGACACUUAAAAACACUUAAAAAAAUCAGGACUUGUUUGUCGAAAUUUACAAAUAUUUUGUUCUUUAAUUAAUUUUUAUUAUAUCAAACAAUAGGACUGCAGUGUAGUUAAACCAGUUGCUUACACCUGGGAAACAUAGUUUUGUGUUCUUAUUUUUUUUUAUUGUUUGUGAGAUGGCAAGUGAUAUAUAUGUCUUUUUAAAAUUUUCAAUUAUUGGGGCAACGAACAUGGUAAAUAAUUUGCGGUGGAAAAGGUACCAAUAUUGACUCAAUAUGUCAAAUUUCUAGAAAAUUUUAGCAUCAAAUGCCUUUUUUCCAUUGUUGUGAGUAUAAGUCAAAUUUCUUGCAAAUUUUCUAUGGGUGUGACGAUUUUUUUUUGGAGUGCAAACGGCCCACCCUUCACCUAUUCAUAGAGAAUUUUACAAUAUUAAAUAGAGAAUUUUGAGUCCAGAAGCAAUCGCUUUCAGGUCAGUGCCCUCCAAGAUGGAUUAUCAGUCAUGGUGUUUAAUUAUAUUUAUUUAAUUUGUUAGAGAGAGCUCUACGCCUAUAGAGUAUAACAAAUGGAUGUACUUUCGUUUUCGUUCAUCUGUUGUAAGCUACUGUUUUUCUUGUCUGAAUCCUCUUUUGCUUCCGACACCAUUACUUCAUCUCAGUCCCUCAGCGAUGGCAGGACCUUAGUUUCAAAAGAUGGAAGCUUUGAGCUUGGUUUCUUCAGUCCUGGUAGUUCCAAGAAUCGUUACGUGGGAAUUUGGUACAAAAAUAUGCCAGUUAAAACUGUUGUUUGGGUUGCAAACCGAAUCAACCCCAUUAAUGACUCUUCUGGGUUGUUAGUUGUAAACGAGACGGGCAAUCUUGUUUUAACCAGCCAGAACAAGAGUGUAGUUUGGUCAGCAAACUUGAGCAAAGAAGUCCGGACUCCAGUUAUAUUCCAGCUACUAGAUUCAGGAAAUCUUGUCCUCAGAGGGGAACGAGAUGGCGAUUCUGAAACUUAUUUAUGGCAAAGCUUUGAUUAUCCUUCUGAUACAUUGCUACCGGGAAUGAAGCUCGGAUGGGAUUUGAAGACUGGUCUUGAGCGGCGUAUAACAUCAUGGAAGAGCUCAGACGACCCGUCUCCUGGAGACUUUACUUGGGCACUUGAACGACAAGAUAACCCUGAGUCAAUCUUCUGGAAGGGAUCAAGAAAGUUAACUAGGAGUGGCCCAUGGAAUGGCCUUAGAUUCAGUGCUUCAUCAUUAAGGCAAAACCCCGUUUUUAACUUCAGCUUUGUCUC
RNAcentral lists this long non-coding RNA (37988 nucleotides) under Citrus sinensis (sweet orange). RNAcentral's name for it is "long non-coding RNA (CSIN_LNC001690)". Lineage: Eukaryota; Viridiplantae; Streptophyta; Magnoliopsida; Sapindales; Rutaceae. The record is from RNAcentral.